GAUAUUUAUAUCGAGCAAGUUCGGAAAGGUGACUUGAAGAAACGACCGUGUAUGAGAAACGGUGGCUGGUGAGCGAUUCGCCGGAGGUUCCGUAGAAUGGCGGAGCAGACGAUCGAGCGGAGCUCGUCUGAAGAAGAAGAAGAAGAAAAAGAAGAAGAAAGAUGAUGUCGCAGAGUUCUUCAGCUUUCCCCCGCCGACUCCGAUAGUCCGAUCCUAACUACAUUGGAAUUCGCCGCCUUCUUCUCCAUCGCAAGGCACAAUCCGGUGUUCUUCGCCGAAAGGUUCGCUUAUAUACAUAUAUGUAUCUUUAUAUGUAUAUUGGUGGGUCUGUUAUAGCGUUAGGUCCAUGUUUGGAUUCAAAGAAUUGGAAUCUGAUGUGUAAUUUGAUCCCAUUGCAUGUUCGUCUUCGAUUUGCUCUAGAGAAUGCUAUUUUGAAAUUUGCACUUCCGUAGCCCUAAAUACAUACAUGUUUUCGUGUCUCUGUCUGUAUCUUCGCCCGUUCGCCGCCUUCUUCUCCAUCGCAAGGCACAAUCCGGUGUUCUUUGCUGAAAGGUUCGAUCAUAUACAUAUAUGUAUAUUUGUGUGACUAUCAUAGUGUUAGAUCCAUGUUUGGAUUCGAAGACUUUGAAACUCUUGAUGUUAAUUUUGAUCUCAUUGCAUGUUUGUGUUCGUUUUGCUCCUAAACUUCAGGUUCAAGAAAAUGUCUUCAAAAUGUCUCAUUUGCGUAUACCGUACGUGUUUGUGUGAAUUUGUUAUUCUCUGUUAGUAUUAUAGUGUUAGAUCCAUGUUUGGAUUGAAGAUUGAACUUGGAAUAUUGCAUAUUUCAUAUUGGUGUGUUUUUCGCGGAAAAGAUUCUCUUAUAUACAUACAUGUAUCUGUGUAUGUACAUGUCUGUGUGCUAGAUCCGUUUUGGCUUAGAAGAAUUGAAGGCGGAAUUGUAAUUUUGAUCUAAUUGCAUGUUCAAUUUGCUCUAAACAUCAAAUCUCCACCACAAUGAAAUAAAAUCAAACGAUAUAGAUUGGUGUAUUUGUAUCGACAGUAUCUAUAUCUAUAUGUGUAUAUCCGUGUGACUAUUAUAGUGUUAAAUCUUUGUUUGGAUUAGAAGAAUUGAGUGGUUGAAUUGUAACUUUUGAUCUUAUUGCGUGUUGUUUUCGUUUUGCUCUAAACUUCAAGUCAGGAAGAAUGAUACGUUAAAAUGUCCACUCGCAUUUAUACAUACAUGUCUGUGUGCAUAUGUACAUCUCUGUAACUAUUAUAAUGUUAGAUCCAUGUUUGGAUUUGAAGAAUUGAACACAGAACAUUACAUAUUUCAUUUUUUUGUUCGUUUUGCUCUUAAGCUUCAAGUCACAAUCUGGUGUUCUUCGCUGAAAGGUUCGCUUAUAUACAUUCAUGAAUCGGUAUGUGUAUAUCUGUGUGACUGUUAUAGUGUUAGAUCCAUGUUUGAAAUUGAUGAACUGAACUUGGAAUUGUAAUUUUGAUCUUGUUGCAUGUGAUUUGGAUCUCUCACUGCAUGUUCGAUCUGUUCUAAACUUCAAGUCUCCAUCAAAUUGUAUUUAAUCAAAAGAUUUAGGUACUUGUAUGUGUAAGUCUGUGUAACUAUGACUGUGCUUAGAUCCAUGUUUAGAUUAGAAGAAUUGAAUGCGGUUUGUACUUUGUCACAUUGCAUAUUUGGUUUCAACUUGCUCUAAACUUAAGCCAAGAAGAACGUUACUUUAAAAUGUCUACUCACUCAUAUACAUGCAUGUGUUUGUGUGUAUAUGUAUAUGAGUAUAUCUCUGUAACUAUUAACAAGUUAGAUCCUGGUUGGAAUGGAAGAAUUGGACUCGGAAUUGUAAUAUAUGACCGCCAUUGCAUAGUUUAUUUCGAUUUGCUCUAAACUUCAAAUCUCCACCAUUUGUUUUUUCUUGUUUUUUUUUUAUGUGACUUUCUUUAAACAACUACAGUUGCAUGCCAAUAAAAUGCAACAGAUCAAUACGCUUCUAGUUUUUACCUUCCUUUUCCUACGCUACUGUGAUACAUCUUCGCAUUCUUUACAUGACCUGAGAAAUGGCAGUCAAACUUUGAGUCACAGUCCAAGUUUCAGCUUGAAUGCAAGCAAUAUUGGUUACCCACGUAAAAAUGCUGAACCAGCAUAUUCCUUUGUAGGGAUGCAUUGCAUAUUUGAUCAAUGCAAAGCCAUGGGUACUUCCUUGAUCAAUCAAUCUAGAUUGAUUUCAUAGACACGUUUCAACUUUUUCCAUAAUGUAAAUUUUCUUUGCUAUGAGAAAUUAACCCUUUAGUUUUAUUCCCAGUUACGGUUGUAAAGUUUGGGCACAUGAGAUCUGAUCUACCUGCAUAUGGGGCAUCAGAUGGUACCUUGACUGUUUGCACGUCUCUGAGCCACCUUCAGUUAUCAAGCAGUUAACAGGACUUUCGAAAGAUGUCACAGGUUGGAUUAGCUGGUAUAUAUUCUGUAGGCUUGUCUAUAAUCUUAUGCUUAUAUUUUUUGUGUCUAAAAUUUGCCCAUUUUCCUUGAUAUUUUUGUUGAACACAUUGAUUUUUGUGUUCAAUAAAAAACUUCUUGCUAAAACACUGUACGGAUAGGAGUGCUAUGUCAAACCGCUGUUUUCUGUACCUUUAGUCACACUAUCCUGUUCCUAUUUUAUAGCUUUAUUUCCCCUGUAGUUUGUCAUUUUCAAUUAACUAUACUACUUUUGAAUGCAAAUAACGUUGUUGACAUGUAGUAUGUCCUUAGGUCUCAUCAGUCUCAUCUCUUUCUUGAUUUCCUCUAGAUGCUCUGCUUAACAUGGGGCAAAAUUUUAGGCAUUUCCACCACAUAAAUCCUUGGCUAAUCUAACUCUGCACAUUGGGCAUAUAUAGAUAGAGAGCAAAGCAAUCAAUAUUAGACUAUAGAAGCACAUGUACGGCUAUUGGUACGAUACAGGUAGAUUGGUAAAAAAAACCCAGAAAGAUAGGAUAAAGAUACAAUUGUGACAAGUAGGUAAAAAAUAUAUUUUUAGAAUUUUGUGUAAUGGAUUAUAUGUAACAAUUAGAAAAUCAAAUGCAAAAAUUAAUUAAAUAGCUUAGUUAAUUAAGAAUCCAAGCUACAAAAUAUAGUUCAUGGCAAAAGUUAGGUACAUACCGGAGUUAGUGACAUUGCCCUAAAGAACCUACAAACCUAAGCUUAAGUUAUAAGCAUGUUAAGCUAGAGAAAAAAAAUGUUAUUAAGCUUACUCAUCUCUAUAUAAAAAGGAAGUAAUAUUCCAACUGGGGUACGGCUUGUAUUUGCUUCUUGGGUUGCUUAGAUUCUUUCAUUGGUUUUGUCUUGUUGAACAUAUAUCUUUACCAUUGAUUAUGUUUUAAACUAAUUUCUCUCCCUAUGCCUUUUUAAGUUAGAUUUGCACCUUGACGUUCACUGGAAACUAAGUUGUCCUGACCCAUUAAGUGAUUGCUCUUUUCCUGUCACUACUGUAUUCAAUUUUACUGUUUGUAUAUAUUCCAUAUGGCUGCUCUUUGGUCUAGGCUGUCUAUUGCAUUUUGGCUUUCUAAUUUUGCGAAUUGCCAAUAUUUUGUGCAGAUGUAUGCCACAGUGGCAACCAUGAAAUUGCAUUAAAAAUUAACACCAAAAUGGGUGUGGAAAGUGUUAGUCUGAUUGAGAAUCGACUUGUAUAAGGUGUUUAAAAAGCUAGUUUAAAGGAUGAAGAAUUUCUUAUUAAAGAAUUAUUUGAUAUUGUUCCUUGCCUUAUAAUCAUUCCAAAGCAAGCAGUAUGAAUUCAAUCUAAUGGUCAACCAAGCUCAUUUUCUUUCAGAGAGGAAUUUGAGUGAGGAACCCAAUGGGAUGGUUCACUCUGGAUGGACACAAGCUCCUGCAAAAGGAAAGGAA
This 3862-nucleotide long non-coding RNA is filed under the name Actinidia chinensis (golden kiwifruit). RNAcentral's name for it is "long non-coding RNA (ACHI_LNC000266)". The record is from RNAcentral. Lineage: Eukaryota; Viridiplantae; Streptophyta; Magnoliopsida; Ericales; Actinidiaceae.